RNAcentral lists this ribosomal RNA (301 nucleotides) under uncultured bacterium. RNAcentral's name for it is "partial 16S ribosomal RNA". It matches the Rfam family "Bacterial small subunit ribosomal RNA", at positions 509 to 807 of the family's 1533-position model. The record is from RNAcentral.
CAGUAGCCGCGGGAACACGUAGGUGGCAAGCGUUGUCCGGAUUUACUGGGCGUAAAGCGAACGCAGGCGGACUGUUAAGUAGGAAGUGAAAGGUCGGAGCUCAACUCCAACAUUGCUUCCUAUACUGGCAGUCUUGAGUAGUGGAGAGGAAGGGGGAACGACACGUGUAGCGGUGAAAUGCGUUGAUAUGUGUCGGAACACCCAUGGCGAAAGCACCCUUCUGGACGCAAACUGACGCUCAGGUUCGAAAGCCAAGGUAGCGAACAGGAUUAGAUACCCGCGUAGUCCCUGUCUCUUAUAC